RNAcentral lists this ribosomal RNA (912 nucleotides) under uncultured bacterium. Its description in RNAcentral is "bacterial SSU rRNA". It matches the Rfam family "Bacterial small subunit ribosomal RNA", at positions 8 to 916 of the family's 1533-position model. The record is from RNAcentral.
AGAGUUUGAUCAUGGCUCAGGAUGAACGCUAGCGGCAGGCUUAACACAUGCAAGUCGAGGGGCAGCGCGGGUAGCAAUACCUGGCGGCGACCGGCAAACGGGUGCGGAACACGUACAGAACCUACCUUUGUCUGGGGCAUAGCCCGGAGAAAUCCGGAUUAACUCCCCAUAAUAUAGAUGAGUGGCAUCACUUGACUAUUAAAAAUUUAUUGGACAGAGAUGGCUGUGCGUCCCAUUAGCUAGUUGGUAGGGUAACGGCCUACCAAGGCAACGAUGGGUAGCUGGUGUGAGAGCACGACCAGCCACACGGGCACUGAGACACGGGCCCGACUCCUACGGGAGGCAGCAGUGAGGAAUAUUGGUCAAUGGACGCAAGUCUGAACCAGCCAUGCCGCGUGAAGGAUGAAGGCCUUCUGGGUUGUAAACUUCUUUUACCUGGGAAGAAAAGUAUGGUCUCUACUAUACCCGACGGUACCAGAGGAAUAAGCACCGGCUAACUCCGUGCCAGCAGCCGCGGUAAUACGGAGGGUGCAAGCGUUAUCCGGAUUUACUGGGUUUAAAGGGUGUGUAGGCGGGCUUUCAAGUCAGUGGUGAAAUCUCCGGGCCCAACCCGGAAACUGCCAUUGAUACUAUUAGUCUUGAAUUCUGUUGAGGUAGGCGGAAUAAGUCAUGUAGCGGUGAAAUGCUUAGAUAUGACUUAGAACACCAAUUGCGAAGGCAGCUUGCUAAACAGAUAUUGACGCUGAGGCACGAAAGCGUGGGGAUCAAACAGGAUUAGAUACCCUGGUAGUCCACGCCCUAAACGAUGUCAACUGGGUGUUGGGGAAGCGAUUCCUUGGUACCGUAGCUAACGCGUGAAGUUGACCGCCUGGGGAGUACGGCCGCAAGGUUAAAACUCAAAGGAAUUGACGG